UCUUCAAUAAACCCUAAUUUCCUCAUUCUCUCAAAACCUUAUCCAUUUCCUUAAACCAUGUCUACCUCUGCAACAUCCUUAGUACUUCCAUCUCUCUUCACCAAAAACUCCCCUCAAUGUUUCUCUUCACUCCCUUCUCUUUCCCUCAACCCUAAUUUCAAACCCUUUUCCUUUUCCUCUGUUUCUCUUCGUCCAUCUUUGUCUAUUUCCCAUCGUUUCAUUUCUCGUGUCGCUGUUUCUUCUGAAUUUGACCAGGAAGAAGAUACCUUUGAUGAUGGUGAUGAUACCCCUAGUUAUUCUCCUAACCAGAGGUUGUUUGUUGGUAACCUUCCUUUCAGUGUUGACAGUGCUCAACUUGCUGAGAUUUUUGAAAACGCUGGGGAUGUUGAAAUGGUCGAGGUAACUUGCUUAAUUAGAUACCCUUUUGGAUGAAAAUGAUUGGGUUUGUGAUAAUUUCUUAUAAAGUUUGGUUUUUUAUGGUUUAACUGGAUACCCUUUUGGAUGAAAAUUAUUGGGUAAAGGUUAAUUUAUUACAAAGUUUGGUUUUUUAUUGUUUAAUUGAGCACCCUUUUGGAUGAAAAAUAAUGGGCUUGUGGUGAAUUUAAUUGGAUUGGUGUUAAAUUUUGAAAUUUGUGUUUUUUCUAGGUGAUUUAUGAUAAGAGUACUGGAAGAAGCAGAGGAUUUGGUUUUGUUACUAUGUCUUCUGCAGCUGAAGUUGAAGCGGCUGCUCAGCAGUUGAAUGGCUAUGUGAGUUUAUUUUUCAUCAUUUGUUUGAUGAUUAUUUAGAUGUUUUGUUUUUAGAAUUUCAGUUUUUGUUAGUUGUUUGAAAUUGAGUAUGGUAAUUGUUGUGUGUGUAUGAGUAAUUAAAUUAAGUUCAAAUGUUAUUGGGUAUGAAUGUGACUGCAGUACCAUAAUAGUACACAAUUUGCUCACACAAACAUGUUUUAAUUUAAUUUAAUCAAUGGUUUAAUUAUGUAUUGAUGAAUUUAAAUAGUUACAAGUAAUUAGGCAUACCCCUUGUAUAGGUAUUUUAUCAAAAUGUGGAUAAGGUGAUAACUAUGGUAGUACCUUAUCCACAUCUACCCAUUGUAACUCCUAUAUCUGAGUUUGCAUGAUGUGAAAAGUGAAUAUGUUUUGCUAUUGUUUGUUAUUCUUUGCUGUGUUAUGAAUGGUUUUGGCCGUUUUGUUUAUAACAUCUAAGGAAACAUUUUUUGAAAUUUACAGGUGGUGGAUGGAAGAGAAUUGAGAGUGAAUGCUGGACCACCACCUCCUCCUCGUAGUGAGAACUCCCGUUUUGGUGAGAAUCCUCGUUUUGGUGGUGAUCGUCCAAGAGGUCCUCCAAGAGGUGGUUCUUCAGAUGGUGACAACCGUGUUCAUGUUGGUAACCUUGCUUGGGGUGUUGACAACUUGGCACUUGAGUCAUUGUUUGGUGAACAAGGACAGGUUUUGGAAGCAAAGGUAAUCUAUGACAGGGAAAGUGGAAGAUCUAGAGGAUUUGGCUUUGUGACUUUCAGUAGCGCUGAUGAGGUCGACAGUGCUAUUCGAACCUUAGAUGGCGCGGUAUGCAUGCAAAUCCCUCCUCUAUGCAACAUGAUGCACUUUUUAAUUUCAUAAUUCAAAUUAGUUUUAUGUUACUUUUAGAUUAUGAGUUAGAAUUCUGGGACCCUAAUUUUUUAAUUAUGAAGGGGUUAAGUCCCUUGGAGGUUUCAAAGUCAUUGAGUUGUAAUUUUGUGUCUUUGACUCUUCAUGUGUGAAUUGGUGUUAUGUAAAGCUAUAUUAUGUAUCUUCAAUUAUGUAUUUAACCACCGAAAUCUUGUAUCAUCUGGUUUUUUUUUUU
RNAcentral lists this long non-coding RNA (1837 nucleotides) under Medicago truncatula (barrel medic). RNAcentral's name for it is "long non-coding RNA (MTRU_LNC003855)". The record is from RNAcentral. Lineage: Eukaryota; Viridiplantae; Streptophyta; Magnoliopsida; Fabales; Fabaceae.